Sphaerodactylus townsendi is the source of this 1936-nucleotide long non-coding RNA. RefSeq lists it as uncharacterized. The transcript has 2 exons. The record is from RefSeq and is a predicted model, not a curated record. NCBI's taxonomy places the organism in Eukaryota, Metazoa, Chordata, Lepidosauria, Squamata, Sphaerodactylidae.
GGGGACGGGGGGGCGCGCAGCGGAAGGGAGGCGGGGGGAUUUUUCCACCUCCCACGUGACCAGAAUCUGUGCACCCGGUGCGUUGCGCACCCCCCCCUCCCCCCGUCCCCUUCGCCACUGCACUCUGGGCUGGCUCAGAUCUCGUCAGCAGUAGUUUUCCCAGUUCUGUUUGCCUUGGGCAGGGUCAGGUCUGUUGGGAUGGAAAGAGCUCCCUGCGAGGCCUUUAAAACCAUUUGCAGAAGAAAAGGGUGCGGGUAGGGAGUGGCCAAAAACUCUGGAUUUUGGGUCCUGCAGCCGGGCGAUAUCCCAACGCCUGGGGCCCUUAUCCCUCGUUCGUGGAAGUGUCUGGCUUGCAAGGCUGGGGACUUCCCAGUCUCUGUGAGGCCUCUUGUAUUUUUUUUUUUGCCCCGUAGAGCUUUUAAACAUCUGUUUAAGGAGCUUCCAGUUCCUAAGACAGCUGUGUGGUGCUGUGGCUGCUGGCUGAACUGUUCAUGCAACCAUGUUGGUGUAUUCUUUUCUCUCUUUUUUUUAAGCCCCACCUUGGAGGCUGGGCAGGUGCAGUCCCCAACUAACCCUGCGGCUGCCAGUGUGCAUUCAGCUUGUAGCCUCAAGUGAGAUUUAGUUUCCUUUCUGUACAGCCCAGAACUGUUGUUCACCUUCAGAGAUUUUGCACUUAACGGCUGGCGCCCGGCAGGGUCUGAACGUCGCAGCAACAGAUAGGCAUAUAUUUGAAGGGGAACCCCCCCCCCCCCAUCUCUUCUCCAGUUAUACUUUGCAGUUCGCCACCACUGGCCUAGGAGGACUCUUCACCCAGAAACGCAAGCCGUGGCCAGAUAUGAUUCUGCUCUCAGUACCGGUUGGCGUGGAGUGGGCAAACAGCUGCGUAACAAGGAAAAUGUCUGCCACUACCAUGUUCCCCGCCUCACCCUACCCCUAAACCAAAUUAGUUCCUAGGUGUACAGAAUUAGUAGGGGGUUUGGGGGUUUUUUUGCGCAACUCCACUAAGCGCUGACCGGGAUAAAUCCUCCACCGUGAGUCAGCUCCCUUCUCCAAGGUUAGUGGAAUGGGCCCAGACCCGGGAUGCGUCAGGGCGAGGGCUGGGCGUUUGGCCCCCGGCCGAAUAAACUCCCCAAAGAGAAAACGUAGCGCUUGAUGCCAAGUUUCCCUUCCCAAGUAGGAUAUACUAAAAGUUCUUCACGGAUGCUUUGAAGUUUUGCAUUUGGGUCUAGCUCCUUUGAACAAAAGUUGUCCAGUGUUUUGUUUUUUAAUUUUCAGGUGCCAUUUUUCUUCUGGUCAAGAGAGGGAGGAGCAGGCUUUGGUAUUUUUUUUUCAGCUGCACUAACGGAAUGUGUGCCUGCAGUUGUGUGUGUGUGUGUGUGUGUUAGAAGUUGUGGAUACCUUUUAUUUUGACUGCUUUUUUGGUCAACCCCUGCAAAAAUGUCUCGGACUGCACCGUAGGCGCCUGCAGCAAAUGAGCAGGCAACUUUCUUUCAUGUUUCUCGGUGGCAAAUUUCACCUUCUGGCUGUGACAUCAGGAAAGCUGCUGUUAAAACCCGUGCAUUGAGCUGGAAGGGGGGGGGCAACGGGGGCGAGCGUCCUAUUUUCAUUUUUGUUUCGGUCAGGUGAAUGCCUACUGGGUGACCGUCCUCUUCUCUCUUCUCCCCCUCCCAUGUAAACCAAACUUAACAUGAAUGUGAGGAAGAUAUUAUAUAUAAUAUAUCCUGCAUUAAAGCUGAGCUUGGCUUGCAUAUUAUUAAAAUUCAAUUUAAAUAUUAAAAACACUUGAGCUAUAGUGACGUAAUGCAAAGCUGAUUUCUCCCCGUCCCUCCCUCCCUUUGUCAAUAACUGAACUCCCGCAAUCCUCAAAUGUGACUUACCUGCUGGAGAAAUAGAUACCUUUUAAAAACCCUAAUAAAAUAAAAUUGUAAAAAAAAAA